This 287-nucleotide ribosomal RNA is filed under the name uncultured Cytophagaceae bacterium. Its description in RNAcentral is "partial 16S ribosomal RNA". It matches the Rfam family "Bacterial small subunit ribosomal RNA", at positions 31 to 331 of the family's 1533-position model. The record is from RNAcentral. Lineage: Bacteria; Pseudomonadati; Bacteroidota; Cytophagia; Cytophagales; Cytophagaceae.
GAACGCUAGCGGCAGGCCUAAUACAUGCAAGUCGAACGGUUCGCAAGGACAGUGGCAAACGGGUGCGUAACGCGUAAGCAACCUGCCUCAUACUGGGGGAUAGCCCGGCGAAAGCUGGGGUAAACCCGCACGGUCCAGUGUCAUCACCUGAUGAUAUUGGUAAACAUUUAUGGGUAUGAGAGGGGCUUGCGUCUGAUUAGCUAGUUGGGGGGGUAACGGCCCACCAAGGCGAUGAUCAGUAGGGGUUCUGAGAGGAUUGGCCCCCACAUGGGUACUGAGAUACGGAC